RNAcentral lists this ribosomal RNA (427 nucleotides) under uncultured bacterium. RNAcentral describes it as "bacterial SSU rRNA". It matches the Rfam family "Bacterial small subunit ribosomal RNA", at positions 355 to 774 of the family's 1533-position model. The record is from RNAcentral.
UAGGGAAUAUUGGACAAUGGGGGCAACCCUGAUCCAGCCAUGCCGCGUGAGUGAAGAAGGCCCUCGGGUUGUAAAGCUCUUUUGUCCGGAAAGAAAAGCUUCGGGUUAAUACCCCGGGGUUCUGACGGUACCGGAAGAAUAAGCACCGGCUAACUUCGUGCCAGCAGCCGCGGUAAUACGAAGGGUGCAAGCGUUACUCGGAAUUACUGGGCGUAAAGCGUGCGUAGGUGGUUGUUUAAGUCUGAUGUGAAAGCCCUGGGCUCAACCUGGGAAUGGCAUUGGAAACUGGGCAGCUAGAGUGCGGUAGAGNGUAGUGGAAUUCCCGGUGUAGCAGUGAAAUGCGUAGAGAUCGGGAGGAACACCAGUGGCGAAAGCGGUUUUCUGGACCAAUUCUGACACUCAGAUGCGAAAGCUAAGGUAGCAAACG